UACGUAGGGUGCAAGCGUUAAUCGGAAUUACUGGGCGUAAAGCGUGCGCAGGCGGUGAUGUAAGACAGAUGUGAAAUCCCCGGGCUCAACCUGGGAACUGCAUUUGUGACUGCAUCGCUGGAGUACGGCAGAGGGGAUGGAAUUCCGGCGUGUAGCAGUGAAAUGCGUAGAUAAUGCGGAGGAACACCGAUGGCGAAGGCAGCCCCCUGGGCUAACACUGACGCCUCAUGCACGAAAGCGUGGGAGC
RNAcentral lists this ribosomal RNA (247 nucleotides) under uncultured bacterium. RNAcentral's name for it is "partial 16S ribosomal RNA". It matches the Rfam family "Bacterial small subunit ribosomal RNA", at positions 524 to 769 of the family's 1533-position model. The record is from RNAcentral.